UUGAACGCUGGCGGCAUGCCUUACACAUGCAAGUCGAACGGCAGCACGGGUGCUUGCACCUGGUGGCGAGUGGCGAACGGGUGAGUAAUACAUCGGAACAUGUCCUGUAGUGGGGGAUAGCCCGGCGAAAGCCGGAUUAAUACCGCAUACGAUCUACGGAUGAAAGCGGGGGACCUUCGGGCCUCGCGCUAUAGGGUUGGCCGAUGGCUGAUUAGCUAGUUGGUGGGGUAAAGGCCUACCAAGGCGACGAUCAGUAGCUGGUCUGAGAGGACGACCAGCCACACUGGGACUGAGACACGGCCCAGACUCCUACGGGAGGCAGCAGUGGGGAAUUUUGGACAAUGGGCGAAAGCCUGAUCCAGCAAUGCCGCGUGUGUGAAGAAGGCCUUCGGGUUGUAAAGCACUUUUGUCCGGAAAGAAAUCCUUGGCUCUAAUACAGUCGGGGGAUGACGGUACCGGAAGAAUAAGCACCGGCUAACUACGUGCCAGCAGCCGCGGUAAUACGUAGGGUGCGAGCGUUAAUCGGAAUUACUGGGCGUAAAGCGUGCGCAGGCGGUUUGCUAAGACCGAUGUGAAAUCCCCGGGCUCAACCUGGGAACUGCAUUGGUGACUGGCAGGCUAGAGUAUGGCAGAGGGGGGUAGAAUUCCACGUGUAGCAGUGAAAUGCGUAGAGAUGUGGAGGAAUACCGAUGGCGAAGGCAGCCCCCUGGGCCAAUACUGACGCUCAUGCACGAAAGCGUGGGGAGCAAACAGGAUUAGAUACCCUGGUAGUCCACGCCCUAAACGAUGUCAACUAGUUGUUGGGGAUUCAUUUCCUUAGUAACGUAGCUAACGCGUGAAGUUGACCGCCUGGGGAGUACGGUCGCAAGAUUAAAACUCAAAGGAAUUGACGGGGACCCGCACAAGCGGUGGAUGAUGUGGAUUAAUUCGAUGCAACGCGAAAAACCUUACCUACCCUUGACAUGGUCGGAAUCCCGCUGAGAGGUGGGAGUGCUCGAAAGAGAACCGGCGCACAGGUGCUGCAUGGCUGUCGUCAGCUCGUGUCGUGAGAUGUUGGGUCAACUCCCGCAACGAGCGCAACCCUUGUCCUUAGUUGCUACGCAAGAGCACUCUAAGGAGACUGCCGGUGACAAACCGGAGGAAGGUGGGGAUGACGUCAAGUCCUCAUGGCCCUUAUGGGUAGGGCUUCACACGUCAUACAAUGGUCGGAACAGAGGGUUGCCAACCCGCGAGGGGGAGCUAAUCCCAGAAAACCGAUCGUAGUCCGGAUUGCACUCUGCAACUCGAGUGCAUGAAGCUGGAAUCGCUAGUAAUCGCGGAUCAGCAUGUCGCGGUGAAUACGUUCCCGGGUCUUGUACACACCGCC
RNAcentral lists this ribosomal RNA (1366 nucleotides) under uncultured beta proteobacterium. RNAcentral's name for it is "bacterial SSU rRNA". It matches the Rfam family "Bacterial small subunit ribosomal RNA", at positions 29 to 1394 of the family's 1533-position model. The record is from RNAcentral. Lineage: Bacteria; Pseudomonadati; Pseudomonadota; Betaproteobacteria.